AUUGAACGCUGGCGGCAUGCUUUACACAUGCAAGUCGGACGGCAGCACAGAGACGCUUUCCUCUUGGGUGGCGAGAGGCGCACGCGUGAGUAAUAUACCUGAACGUAUCGAGUUAUGGGGGAUAACUAAUCGAAAGAUUAACUAAUACCGCAUAUUCUCUGAGGAGGAAAGCGGGGGACCUUCUGGCCCUGCGUUCUUCGAGCGGCCGAUAUCUGAUUAGCUAGUUGGUGGGGUAAAGGCCCACCAAGGCGACGAUCAGUAGCGGGUCUGAGAGGAUGAUCAGCCACACUGGAACUGAGACACGGCCCAGACUCCUACGGGAGGCAGCAGUGGGGAAUAUUGGACAAUGGGCGCAAGCCUGAUCCAGCCAUGCCGCGUGUGUGAAGAAGGCCUUCGGGUUGUAAAGGACUUUUGUCAGGGAAGAAAAGGAUGUUGCUAAUACCGACAGGUGAUGACGGUACCUGAAGAAUAAGCACCGGCUAACUACGUG
Molecule: ribosomal RNA, 490 nt
Filed under: uncultured bacterium
Lineage: Bacteria
Description: partial 16S ribosomal RNA
Rfam family: Bacterial small subunit ribosomal RNA
Source: RNAcentral